RNAcentral lists this ribosomal RNA (450 nucleotides) under uncultured bacterium. Its description in RNAcentral is "partial 16S ribosomal RNA". It matches the Rfam family "Bacterial small subunit ribosomal RNA", at positions 354 to 796 of the family's 1533-position model. The record is from RNAcentral.
GUGGGGAAUUUUGGACAAUGGGCGCAAGCCUGAUCCAGCAAUGCCGCGUGCAGGAAGAAGGCCUUCGGGUUGUAAACUGCUUUUGUACGGAACGAAAAGGCUCUGGUUAAUACCUGGGGCUCAUGACGGUACCGUAAGAAUAAGCACCGGCUAACUACGUGCCAGCAGCCGCGGUAAUACGUAGGGUGCAAGCGUUAAUCGGAAUUACUGGGCGUAAAGCGUGCGCAGGCGGUUUUGUAAGACAGACGUGAAAUCCCCGGGCUCAACCUGGGAAUGGCGUUUGUGACUGCAAAGCUGGAGUGCGGCAGAGGGGGAUGGAAUUCCGCGUGUAGCAGUGAAAUGCGUAGAUAUGCGGAGGAACACCGAUGGCGAAGGCAAUCCCCUGGGCCUGCACUGACGCUCAUGCACGAAAGCGUGGGGAGCGAACAGGAUUAGAUACCCUAGUAGUCC